Molecule: ribosomal RNA, 414 nt
Filed under: uncultured bacterium
Lineage: Bacteria
Description: bacterial SSU rRNA
Rfam family: Bacterial small subunit ribosomal RNA
Source: RNAcentral
UAAGGAAUAUUGGUCAAUGGACGCAAGUCUGAACCAGCCAUGCCGCGUGAAGGAUGAAGGUCCUCUGGAUUGUAAACUUCUUUUAUCUGGGACGAAAACGGGAUUUUUAUCUCAAUUGACGGUACCAGAGGAAUAAGCACCGGCUAACUCCGUGCCAGCAGCCGCGGUAAUACGGAGGGUGCGCGCGUUAUCCGGAUUUACUGGGUUUAAAGGGUGCGUAGGUGGGCUUAUAAGUCAGUGGUGAAAUCUCCGAGCUUAACUUGGAAACUGCCGUGGAUACUAUAGGUCUUGAAUUAUCUGGAGGUAAGCGGAAUAUGUCAUGUAGCGGUGAAAUGCUUAGAUAUGACAUAGAACACCAAUUGCGAAGGCAGCUUACUACAUAUAAAUUGACGCUGAGGCACGAAAGCGUGGGGA